CCUACGGGAGGCAGCAGUGGGGAAUAUUGCACAAUGGGGGGAACCCUGAUGCAGCGACGCCGCGUGGGUGAAGAAGCGCCUCGGCGCGUAAAGCCCUGUCAGCAGGGAAGAAAAUGACGGUACCUGAAGAAGAAGCCCCGGCUAACUACGUGCCAGCAGCCGCGGUAAUACGUAGGGGGCAAGCGUUAUCCGGAUUUACUGGGUGUAAAGGGGGCGCAGACGGCGAUGCAAGCCAGGAGUGAAAGCCCGGGGCUCAACCCCGGGACUGCUUUUGGAACUGGGUGGCUGGAGUGCAGGAGGGGCAGGCGGAAUUCGUGGUGUAGCGGUGAAAUGCGUAGAGAGCAGGAGGAACACCGGUGGCGAAGGCGGCCUGCUGGACUGCAACUGACGUUGAGGCUCGAAAGCGUGGGGAGCAAACAGGAUUAGAUACCCGGGUAGUC
Molecule: ribosomal RNA, 440 nt
Filed under: uncultured bacterium
Lineage: Bacteria
Description: partial 16S ribosomal RNA
Rfam family: Bacterial small subunit ribosomal RNA
Source: RNAcentral